AUUGUAUCAAGAGAGGUGGAGGGACUGGCCCUUUGAAACCUCGGCAACAGGUUCGCGUGCGAAUACUGUGCCACUUCCUGCGAGCAAUUUGCUCGAAAGAUAGAAU
RNAcentral lists this non-coding RNA (106 nucleotides) under Bacillus manliponensis. RNAcentral describes it as "SAM-I sequence". It matches the Rfam family "SAM riboswitch aptamer (S box leader)". Rfam says of the family: The SAM riboswitch is found upstream of a number of genes which code for proteins involved in methionine or cysteine biosynthesis in Gram-positive bacteria. The record is from Rfam by way of RNAcentral. Lineage: Bacteria; Bacillati; Bacillota; Bacilli; Caryophanales; Bacillaceae.